This 469-nucleotide long non-coding RNA is filed under the name Elaeis guineensis (African oil palm). RNAcentral describes it as "long non-coding RNA (EGUI_LNC000447)". Lineage: Eukaryota; Viridiplantae; Streptophyta; Magnoliopsida; Arecales; Arecaceae. The record is from RNAcentral.
UCGUGCUCAACUCAAUUAGUCCUGUGACUCCUCACUAGGACUAUCCUGGCCAAGGUUUUGCUAAAUUGAAAUACGACUAUACACAGCUCCUAAACUGGAGUGGUCAAUCCCAUCUUGACACACGCACCGACAAGUCAAGUACUUGACUACACCCAGCAGCCUUCCGUCACUGAAUUAGAAAUUCAGGUAGUCCAGUGCCUAAGUGCAGUGAGUUGCUUGCAAGUCACCGUGGCGGUCUCAGGUCGGAGGGACAUUUAUACCCAUAUCCCAUCGGAGCAAAUCUUGACAGCAGAAAUAGCUCCGGAGUCGGUCACGUUCAGUGCAGAUGUACCAUUACAUCUCACCUGUAUGCUAUACCAGUGUCUCCACACUCCUUGGUUAUGAGGACAACCAACCCAUAUGGCACACAACGACCUAUGCUCGAUAAACAUUGUCGUCUUUGGUAACAACGUAUCAUUUGGUCGCGAAC